GACGAACGCUGGCGGCGUGCCUAAUACAUGCAAGUCGAGCGCUUCUUUCCUCCCGAGUGCUUGCACUCAAUUGGAAAGAGGAGUGGCGGACGGGUGAGUAACACGUGGGUAGCCUACCCAUCAGAGGGGGAUAACACUUGGAAACAGGUGCUAAUACCGCAUAACAGUUUAUGCCGCAUGGCAUAAGAGUGAAAGGCGCUUUCGGGUGUCGCUGAUGGAUGGACCCGCGGUGCAUUAGCUAGUUGGUGAGGUAACGGCUCACCAAGGCCACGAUGCAUAGCCGACCUGAGAGGGUGAUCGGCCACACUGGGACUGAGACACGGCCCAGACUCCUACGGGAGGCAGCAGUAGGGAAUCUUCGGCAAUGGACGAAAGUCUGACCGAGCAACGCCGCGUGAGUGAAGAAGGUUUUCGGAUCGUAAAACUCUGUUGUUAGAGAAGAACAAGGACGUUAGUAACUGAACGUCCCCUGACGGUAUCUAACCAGAAAACCACGGCUAACUACGU
This 507-nucleotide ribosomal RNA is filed under the name uncultured bacterium. RNAcentral describes it as "partial 16S ribosomal RNA". It matches the Rfam family "Bacterial small subunit ribosomal RNA", at positions 28 to 506 of the family's 1533-position model. The record is from RNAcentral.